RNAcentral lists this transfer RNA (73 nucleotides) under Candidatus Tremblaya phenacola PAVE. RNAcentral's name for it is "tRNA-Met (CAT) (tRNA-Met-CAT-1-1)". It matches the Rfam family "tRNA". Rfam says of the family: Transfer RNA (tRNA) molecules are approximately 80 nucleotides in length. Lineage: Bacteria; Pseudomonadati; Pseudomonadota; Betaproteobacteria. The record is from RNAcentral.
AGGCCUGUAGCUUAGGGGUCAGAGCGCCUGGCUCAUAAUCAGGUGGUCGUUGGUUCGAAUCCAACCAGGCCUA